GUGUGUCAGUCCUGUAAGUCGCUUUGGAUAAAAGCGUCUGCUAAAUGACCUGUA
This is a non-coding RNA of Gasterosteus aculeatus (three-spined stickleback), 54 nucleotides long. Lineage: Eukaryota; Metazoa; Chordata; Actinopteri; Perciformes; Gasterosteidae. The record is from Rfam.